GGGGAGUACAAAACCUGGACAUGCCAGCUCCCCCUUCACCUCCGAGCACUGGCAGAUAUUAUGCACACUCUUGGAUUGCACAUGCUAUGCCACGUGAGGGCUAUAAAUAGCCGAGCGCAGCAGCUCAGCUCCUCAGUGCUCCGAACUUCCAGUGUCAAACCCAACUGCUCCCUGAAGACAAGCAAGGCAGACGGAGGGGCGGUCUCUGAAGGGGCAAACUCAGGAGGCCUCAGGCUACAGGUGCUGCUGAGGUGGUGACCACGCUACUCACCGAGACUCAAUGGUGUCUUGUCAUUGCCAGACCUGUUUUUACACCUGCCUUCUGUGGGUGGUCUCAGUGCUCCUUCAACAGCAGCAGCAGCUUCGCAGGUGGGUUAAUGCCCGAGACUCUGCUGCUGUGUGAAGGAAUCUUCAACCCACCUGUGCUUUUCGGUGACCGGUCUCUCUUCCACGGAGAGACAGGACUUUGAGAUCGCAUAGCCAGGUCUACUUCUAAAACAAGGGGUUUAAGUAAAUCAAGGAGAUAGAUGGGGCUUUCAAGGCUACCGCUAUGGAUUCUCUAGGCAAAUGUCAAAGCAAAAUUGUUCAUCGUGAUGCUCUUGCAUGAAUGAAGCCACUGGAAACAAGGGUAGACUACAGAUCUAACCAAAUGUGUUACACAAACUCUGCUUUUGGAUGCAAAUCUCUGGGACAGCAAGCAGGAAGAAACCUUUACUGCAUAAAAGUGUCUGCACCUCCGAUAUGGCAGCAUUGGGACAGAACAGGAAAAACAGAAGGUGAAAGCGAGCAACUAAUUUUUUACACUUCUCUCAGGCUGGGGAGCGCAGACAAACUGCAGCAGUGGAUUUUUUUGUUUUUGUUUUACCCUGACACAAGUACAACGCACAUCUCUGAAAAAAUUCACUAGAAUAAGUAUCCACCUGCUAGAGAAGCGUGGGGGCUGCAACAACAGAACAACUGACACUAAAUCAUGGUUCUGGGAAGAGGGGGUGGCUCCGAGAGACAGGGCUGGGGGUGGAUUAGUCAGACACCAAACUAUGGCAAUGAACAAGACGAAAGGAAAGUGAGAACAGGAAGACCCUCCCUUCCAAAUGGAGUUACUAUGUCUAGCCACAGGAGGAGUCCAAUGGGGAUUGCAACUUUUCCCUUUCCUUAACCCUAAACUGGGAUGAAGGGGUGGUCACCGCUAUUGGGCCUGGUUGCUAGCACACGCCCAAAUCCACACAGCCCUGCUGCUAUUUCAGCUCAGUUAUCGACUGUCGUUUGCAAACUGGGCUGUUGUCCAUUGUGAACUGUACCGAGAUCACCAGCAUUCCAACGAGAAGGCCAAGAGGCAACAAGUUUUCAAGAAAGCUGCAGACAAGCGCUGGUUGUACCUGUGCCCAGCCGGCCAGCCAGAGCCUUCACAGACAGUGUGCUCUCUUCACUCCCCUGAUUGCCCCCCCCCUCCUUCAUUCAUUCCAUGAACAGCCGGGGUCAGACCAACACGGAGGGUCAGAAAGCUAAGAAGUCUAGCCUGAGCCAGCAACACUUCAUGUCAGGCCAUUCAGAAUCCCCAACGUACAUGCAAGGGUCCGCAGUUCCCAGGACCGUGUGUUCCAUGUAAACAAGCUGUAGUAUUAGACAGAAUGCAGGAGCUUCUGCACUGCUGAGCCCCUCCCCGCCCAGCCAGCCCCCUUCAGGGCACGUCUUGGGUUUCAGCUUUCGGCGGGCGUUCCGGGGCACUGCACCGUGCAGCACAAGCUGAAGGCGGAGAGUUUCCAAGGUAAUGUUAGAACAGAUAAGAGCGCCUAUCUACCGCCAGCCAGGUGCUACGAGUGACAAGGCAGGAAGGACAUAACCAUCAGCCAUACAAGCUCUCUGCUGAUUUUAACAGUUUUCCCCAGAAGCUUUGAGUGCGAAGGAGCCUUCAACAGUUGGCUGGUACCAGGAGAUUCUGACAUUUGGGUUUGAAAAUUGCUGGGUUUUUCCCCUCUUCUUCUAUAUUGGGAAGAGACCUGUAGGACUUUACCAGAGCACACUGGAACAUUCUAGAGCACACAGAUUAAUAGAAAUCUUGGAGUCAAUUAUAAAAGUCACUUCUCAGAGUGCAAACAUGCCAGGUCUGUAGCGCCACUGCCGAGAGAUUCUGACAAAGGGAGUGUUGUGCCUAUGUCAACGCAAACACCGGUUUAAGAGAAACAUAAAAAGCUUGUGCAUGCAGCCAUCACAACCUCCUGCAGUUGCCAUGUGGGAAGAUGAAAAUGGGUUACCAUGGUUACUACUGCCUGGGAAGAGAAUAUUCAGCUCAAACCAGAGCCAAUGGUUCAUCCUGUUAAACUACAGACACCAUCCUGAUUAACUAAAGCCUGAUGCUGCAGCCGAGUCUGUAGAAUUAGUAUUUCUUCUAAUGGAUCAGAACAACCCUGCUGCAAAUUUAAAUCAACAUACAGCGAUGGUUCGAGUUCCAAAACCUAGCACACACACAGGUAUUAGAAUCCAAGAGCACUGAGUGCAACACAAAGAGGAGACGUGGUACGUACUCCAAACCUAGUGCAGACCAAACAUGCUGAUGCAGAUAGCAGAUCAGAUGCCAGGGCAACUUAGAGGUGGUGAGAAAUCACACUGUCAUUAACACACAGCAUAAGAUGGCAGUAAUUUUUUCCUGCCCAUCCUCCUCUCAUCACUAUUAAAAUGUAAAACUAAAUAUUUACUGCAUAUGCUGUCAACACUCAAGAGUUCUAAUUAGAUACACAAGUUGAACACUAAGAGCAUACCACAAUGCAGGGCUGCUUUCUUCAAAGGAACAGAGUAUAUUUUAAAGAAAAUCAUAGCACCACAUUUAACUGCAGUCUUCGUUUGUGACUAUGCAUUUAAAACCUUCACUGCACUGAGAAAACAACUGCAACUAGAGCCAAGUGGAGUUCUGAUCAUUUUAACAGCCCAGAAAGCGUCUGAUGUUCACACACUUGGCUUAGCCUGAAUGCGUACUUCCCGAAUGGUUACAUAAACACGGAUUGCUAGAUGCUCUUUAUGUAUCACCAAACUACAUUUAAAGACUUCAAGCAAAACUUGUCAGAGCUAAAGAGACUCGUAAGGCACAGGUAUCACCCCCCACUAUGUCCCUACUGCAAGUCAGGCAGGCUUAGAAAGAGAAACAAGGAACGUUUCCUUCUCCACCAAUGAGGAGAAAAUUCUUACUACCAGGAAAAAAAAGCAAGCAAGCAACAGGUAUUCAAAACCCGAGAGAUCACCACACCUGAACCAGGCAAGAGGGAGAAGACAACAAAGAGGCACUCCAAUCACUUUUACAGCAAAAGAAGGCUUUCUUCAGAGUUCAGUGUUUUGUAAAGCACUGCUCCCCUCCCACUCUGCUCUAGCUCGAAGUCCCAAGCUGACUUCAUCAGCCAGGUUAUUCUUGCCACAUGGCCAGCAUGUUCUGCCAGAGUAACUCUCACUGCAAAGCCCAUCUGUACAACCGUAUCAUUCUCCUUACAGUUGUAUAAUCACGUAGUCGGUUACUUCACAGCCUACACACGGAAGCACACACAACCAAAGGGGCCUGACUUGCAUAGCACAUCUUUCUUCAUAGACACAGCACUAAGUCUUAGUUAUCAUGCAGAAGUAUAAUGCUGACAUCACAGCAGAGCUGCCACCCUGCCUUCUAGAGACGUGUGUGUGUGUGUGUGUGUGUGUGUGUGUGUGUGUGUGUGUAGUAAUAGCUUUUA
This is a long non-coding RNA of Trachemys scripta elegans, 3707 nucleotides long. RefSeq lists it as uncharacterized. The transcript is spliced from 5 exons. The record is from RefSeq and is a predicted model, not a curated record. Lineage: Eukaryota; Metazoa; Chordata; Testudines; Emydidae.